Syngnathus typhle (broad-nosed pipefish) is the source of this 1050-nucleotide long non-coding RNA. RefSeq lists it as uncharacterized. The record is from RefSeq and is a predicted model, not a curated record. NCBI's taxonomy places the organism in Eukaryota, Metazoa, Chordata, Actinopteri, Syngnathiformes, Syngnathidae. The transcript has 2 exons.
CGAGGCUUGGCCAACAGCACUCACUUCCUCUCUUAGCACAUUCUAUGACUCGCUCUCUUUCACUUUGUCCCACUGCCUCAAAGUUGUGUCCUCCGAUUUCUCUACGCAUGGACUUAUCCAUCUUAUUCCUGAGGGCUGCGCUGUCAAAACAACCAUGGGUGUGACUUCCUGUUCGAGCGGAAGUACAAAAACAGAGAUCAGACAACAAUAAAAGUCUCCUAACCUCGCCUCCAUUUUCAACACUCUCCUGUGCUCUUGGCUGAUGUAUGGUCAUUGGGAUUCACACAGUGUCAUUGAUGGGGAGCUUCUCUAACCCACUUUGCAAUGCUUGCAGAGAAAUGACGUAAUAUGCGGAUCACAGAUGAAAUCUCUCUCUCUCUCUCGCUCUCUCUGUCUAUCUGGUGUUUUCGGAAAGAACAAUGGGGCUAAUGCAUUAAGCUUGCUGGUGUCAGUAUCCAAUAAGACGUCUCGCAAUACAUGGCCUUCAAGACGUCAUACGGCAAGGCUGCCACGUUCCAAGACUCACAGUGAAGAUCAAUACAGCUCCCAGGAAAUACAAUUCCAGCCAUAUGCGGUUGACUAUGCACAGCCAGGAGCUUUGUGGUGGUGGCUGUGUCACUUCUAUAAAUAGCAAACAAGGUUCUUACCAGGGCAGGCCACUGUAUGUGUUUAGCCUUGAUUCCCUGCAGCAGGCCACCUACUCCUCCACCUGCUCCCGCUCCUCCUGCUCCUUCUUUCCUCUUGGCCCAGACCAGCUGGUGCUCGAGGAGAAACAGCUGGAAAUCGUCAUAGACCUUCACCCACUCUCUCUUCUCCCAUUCCUGGUCAUCAAAUUCCACGUAUACCUGCAAGACACGACACCGAUGGAUCAACAAACGACAUUUGCAAUCAUGAUGGCCACGUCACUCGAUGGACGGACGGAUAAAUAGAGGGCUGUGUAUCAUUCAAAUGAAAUGGAUGCAUUGCAUAGACAUUUCAAAAUAAAAUACCGUUGUCUUUAAUAAAACACAGGUUGUCACGGGAAUAAAAAGAUUUUGUUGACCAUCAAAA